Molecule: non-coding RNA, 742 nt
Filed under: Pongo abelii (Sumatran orangutan)
Lineage: Eukaryota; Metazoa; Chordata; Mammalia; Primates; Hominidae
Source: RNAcentral
CCGAUCCCCUGAGUCUUGGCGCCAGUUUAGUCACCCUUCAAUUGCUCGGGAGGCAGGAAGAGACUUCCCCUCUUCACGAGGUAAGGGAGACAAAAGCAGCCAUUUGGAUGCCAGGGCCACAAAGGCAAGCCAUGCCCUGUUUCUUUGGGGGGACAGAAUCACUUCUUCCUGAGGCCAGACACUGUAGCCCAUGGUACUCAGCCUUCCAGAGGAGGGUAGCCUAGCAGUGGAGAAGCCCUGAGUGGAAGCAGCAUUUUGAAGGCAUCGUCAUUCUUAGACCAGUUAAGAGCUGAGGGCAUUCUCUAUCUUUGCCAGCAGACAGUGAGACUCCAGGAUUAAAAUUAAAAGCCUGUGGUGCAUCCUUUCCUUGACAUUAACUUUCCACAAAACCUUGGAGGAGUCAAAUCCCACACUGCACAUACCCUGGUAUCUCCAGCUGUGAAGUGGGACCAGUAUCAAUACAUGGGAAAGUGCUGAGAGGGAAGAAAAUAUUUCAGGUAUAAUACUAAUCCAUCAAACACGUUUUAUUCAAGAAGCUUGGCACCAACUUUGUGCCACAUCCUCAACUCUUCAAUGAAAACAGCGGUGACCAACUCACUCCCGUUGGUCUCUAUGGCAGGCGUUGGAAUGAGCUGAGGCUGUCCUCCUCUGUUUGGCUCACAGCUUUAUUCCUCUAGCUUCAGAUAAAAAUAAUUAUAAUAGGCAAUAAAGUCUCUUCACAGUGUAUUUACUGUAACUACAA